This is a long non-coding RNA of Zalophus californianus (California sea lion), 336 nucleotides long. RefSeq lists it as uncharacterized. The record is from RefSeq and is a predicted model, not a curated record. The transcript is spliced from 3 exons. Lineage: Eukaryota; Metazoa; Chordata; Mammalia; Carnivora; Otariidae.
UAAUCAGUGGCAAGAACUGGUUUUCACCGAGAGAAGCUGGUCCUGACAUUCUGACAGCAAACUUCAGGCAUAACAUAUGAGCUGGAGAGGUGUGUCAGGGCCAGAGAGCACAGUGCACCAGAGCCCACCCCGCAACUGGCUCAUAAUAGGUACGUUACUCUGCCACUAGGAUUAAGCGUAAUCCAUACUUAGGUCUGAAACAUUUCUCCAAGGAAACAAUCUGCAGAGAUGCCUCACAGCAAAGGCUAGGUUCUCCAAUGUGGAAAAUGCGUGAUGAGAGCAAGCAUCCUUGUUUUAUUCCUGAGUUUAAAAGAAAUGCUUUGAAAUUGUGCCAUG